Long non-coding RNA from Equus caballus (horse), 3966 nucleotides. The record is from Ensembl. NCBI's taxonomy places the organism in Eukaryota, Metazoa, Chordata, Mammalia, Perissodactyla, Equidae.
GAUCAUCCCUUCACUACCUCUAGAAGACAGAUCUGAAGUUCCUCUUGGGGAUUCUGGUUGCUUCAUCUCUCCCUGGUUGUUAUUGCAAAAGGUGGGAGGAAUCCUUUUCGGAGAACUACAGGUAUCAAAAUUCUAGUCACAUUUCUCAGAUUCUCCUCUUCCUACCAUGGUCAGAUUUUUAUCUUCUUUUGAGUGGAAAAAAUGUCUUUACAUCAUAAUGCAUUCUUUCUUGUUUUUUCCCUUGCCUCUCAAAACUUUGGUUUAUGUAUUUGAAAGCUUUGACUGUCAAUACUUUUACCGCUGAUAGAGACUUUUAAGGGCAUUUUCAAAUUUAAAGCUUGAAUUUGACUUUUGCAUUUUAGCUGAAUCGACUGCUCUCCACAGGAUAGUCUAUAAAGUUAUUACUGCUAGUAGAAUGACAAUAAAGGCAAUGGAAAGUGGAGAGGGUAAUGGGUGCAAGAGAAGAGCAAUGGGAAAUGACCCUACAUAAUAGCUCAAAGUUUUAUACUGUUACACAGUCCUCAGCAUCUUUCUGUCAUCUGUUCAUUCCUGUUAACAUGGAUAUAGUCGUUGGGAAAGGGAAAGGAGAAAAGCAAUUCUUCACAGAUGGAUUUACGAUGGAAAAAUUAAGGAAGUUUGAAAUGAAUUGAAAUCUGAACCAGGAGCAGUUGAUACUUCCUCCUGCUGUAGACACUCAUUCACUCAACAUAUAUUUACUCAACAUUUAUGGAGUGCCAGUCACUAUUGACAAGCCACUGAAUGGAAAAGAAGAUAAUUUAUGAAGAACAUCUUCAGCAGAGUCUACGGAAAGUGGCAGCCACAAGGCAACUUGGGGUGAUGUCCCCGUGGUCACUACUGCCACGUGUUGUGAUGGGCUUUGGUAUUAGAAGGUUUUCAGGUCUCUCAGAUGAGUGGUUUAAUAUCAAGCCAGCAAUCACGGUGCAAGAUAAAGGACUGGGAGAUACACAAUUUCCUUCAAGAUGGGUCUCCAAGACCUUAUUGGAUUGGUGUGAUAUCCAGAAUACAAGCUCUCCAGCAGAAGCUGUUCCUUCCCAAACCUGGUGGGAAGUCCCUGAGCCACACUUAAAAGAGAUGCAGCAGCCAGAUCCCAGAGUCAACAAGAACUUAUUGGAAGACCAAGAAGAGUUGCUUCUGAGGUAAAAAAAAAAAAAAAAAAAAGACUAAUGCAAAGAGUGAAAAAUGAAUUUUUUAUAUUUUACACUGACCACAACACAUGGUUGAGAAAAUUUGAAUAACUCUAGCUAAAUUUUGAAAGGUGCUUCAAAGCAUAUAAAGGGCUUUCACAUGUAUUUUCUCAUGUGAUUCCUGUAAACUUGGAAAAUAGUGGGUACUCCAUUUCAGAAAUGAGAAAAUGAAGGCCCAGAGAAGUGAAGCAGCAUGCACAGGCCACACAGUUCACAGGGGACUGGGCUGAGACCAAAACCUGACUGCAGGUUGCACACUUUUAACUCUCACCAACAACAGAGACAAAAGAGGGUUGGCCACCCAAGUAUUUAUCAUGAUGCAUUUUGGAACUCCAGGCUGAAAAACAAACAAACAAAAACCCCUACUAAAGAUUAAAACAUCUCUAAUUCAAACACCCAGAAAAUAUAGCAAUUAAUUUUUCCUUCGAGGAGGCAAAUACAGAUGGGCACCUGGCUGCUUUCACAUGGUGUUAACACUCACGUCUGACUGGCCUCAUGAUCUCCUGGAUCUUCCUAAGCCAAGGCGCUGGGGCGCUAUUUAAUCAGGUUGGAAGUCCCGGAAUUUAGCUAUUCUCCAUCUCUGUUCCUGCAGACUGCUGAUUUAAACAUGUGAAGCCACUGAUUAUCUAACAGUUAAGGAGAAGUGAAUCCAAGGUUCAAUGACACAGAGAUGAGAGGCCAGGACAACACCUGAGCCUAUGACUGGCAAUUAAUUAGACAGAUAGCAUCUUACAUUUGGAAAGGACCUUAUAGGCCUAAUCCAAUCUCCCUCCUGGUAUGGGAUUCCUUCCACAGCAAGCCUGACAAAUUUGCUCCCGGAAUAGGGAUUUUCACUUGUCUUGAGGCAACCAUUCUACUACUGUAAGAUGGGCUCUUGUUGUUAGAACGUUAAGUCUACCUUUCUGACCUAGUUCUGCCCUUUGGUGCCUUAACAAAUAUGGCUACCUGUGCAUUCCCAUGUUAUUUUCCCCAUAUUUGAAGUCAACUCUCUUAGCUUUCUUAAAAUCUCCUCUCUAGCAAAGCAUACGCAGCGCCUCCAACUCUCCAUACCCACUGAUCUUCAGGCCUCUCUCCAGAUGGUGUCUCGUUUGGACAUUGUUUUUUUCCUUUUUUAGUGAAAUGCCCAUCGCUGAAUUGGGUCUGUUUUUCCUGCUUAAGCUGACCCAAUGUUAACACAUUUUCAGUGCUUUUACUGGUCAUAAGCUCCACACUAGUGGGGCUAUAUAUAUGGUGGUUAGUGAUAAGAUCAGCUCCCUCGGCUCUGUAACCCACUGGAGUUUACCAAAUGAGAACUGGUUUGCUUCAUGUAAUUUACCUCAGAAGCCACAUCACCAGCAAGAGGACCAUUAAUUGUCAAUGUGCAGGCCACAACUAAUUUGUCACUUGGAACCAGUUUUUGCUUCAAUAAACUUUUUGUCUAUCUAGUAUUGCAUCUCUUAAAAUACAGAGAAAAAACAGGUAGGAGACUAGUUUACCAGCAACUUUGACAAAUGGCCCCUGAAGGAGACUAGUGACAUUUGGAAAGUUGGUGAAAGCUGCUAGAGUCAAAGCAACUUCUUAAAAAAAAAAAAAAAUUGUGGCUAUGCUCUGCUCAACCAGGCCACACCUGUUUUGAGAAACCACCAAGCGUUCUGCAGAUAAACAGAGAUGCCAGGCCUGACAGUCUCUAAGGCAACAAGAUACCGAUCAUCAUUGUACAUGUAAGAGAUGGAAAAAGACACUGGUGACAAACAUUAAGCCUGGUUUUUUCAUCUACCCAAUGGUGUAGCAGCAGUUGGAGUAAACCCUGCCUCAAAAGCUCAUCUCACAUCCAGUCUCCAGCCCCAAACUCUAAUUGUAGUGGAGGGCAGCCUGCAUUUGGAAAAAUACCUGAGAGAUCUGGACCCCACCCCUUAAGCAGUAAUCCUGUGGCCUAAUGUGGACUUCCAAAUGGGCUUCUGGGGAAAGAAGACAAUUUGUAGCCCCUGUGUUCCCACUCCUCACCUGCAAAGUGAAAUGAAAUGUUUACGUGGCUUGAAUUCAUGAGAGUGUACACUCGGGGAUAAGCCAGUGAACUUGGAUGACACAAAGAGAUAACUUAUCUAGCUUGGCUUCCUAGCGAAUGGCUUGGAUUUUAAUUAGGAAAUCACCAUCAAAAUGCAACCACUUUCCUGCUUUCAGGGAAUUUAGAUCUAUCAAAGAUGUAUAACAUCGCACUUUCCCAUUUGUUGUUAUCUCCAACUUGUGAUAUUUUAACAGGAAUAAAGCAAGUGAGCAUUUAGUAAGAAGAUGGAAGAGGUAUAGGAUGGAUCCAGGAGUUGGAGUGGGAGCUUGUCUACUGCUUGUGAAAUUAUUGCAUUGGGGUGACUUACGUCUGUGUUUUCUCGAUCCCUAGACUUUGAGCUGCUCUGUCUUGUUCAUUGGUGCAUUCCCACUCUUCCUGGUGUCAUGUUCUGUACCUUGUUGAUACUCAAAAACUAUUUAUUGAAUUGAAUCACUGUGUUGAUUUGAGGAGAUAUUGCUCAAAGACACUGUGGAUAAAGCAAAAUCUCAGCUCAGGACGUGGGAAAACAUACUGCAAAGAUGGACUAAUUAAUGACUUAAUGAACCUUGAAAAAACAAAAAAGAAUCAUAAAUGCCAAUGACAAGUAUUAGUUUAUGGAAGCCUAAUUAUAAAUAAUAACAGAAGAAAUAACUUAAAUGAUCCAGCUGGUCAGAUAGCAGCCAUCUUUAUUAAAAGGCCUGGUCAGGAUAAGAAAUGUUAAAUAGAAAUGAGUGUGUG